This is a long non-coding RNA of Psammomys obesus (fat sand rat), 619 nucleotides long. RefSeq lists it as uncharacterized. The record is from RefSeq and is a predicted model, not a curated record. Lineage: Eukaryota; Metazoa; Chordata; Mammalia; Rodentia; Muridae. The transcript has 3 exons.
GGAAGGAGAGGAGGACCUCCCCUAUCAGUGGACGUGGGGAGGAGCAUGCAUACAGAAAGGGGAGAAACCUGGAUAUCAAGUCCCUCCUGGGAAGUUGAGGCACCGGUUUGAAGCUUAGAGAACAAAGGAGCAAGAAGCAUGUGUUUCCUAUUUUUUUCUAAGGAGGUCUUCGUUUAACAGUGAAGCUAGCAUGAAGAAUGCCAAGCCUCCGUAGAUUCUGGAAGCCUGCAGAGGCUGUUCACACAGAGGAGAAAGAUGUCACUUCAUGGCAACCGGUGAAAAUGAGCACAAUUCACUCUUUAGAUUCUAAAGUUGUUGGCAGUGCUGAAAGUUCAAAAGAUUUAAAUUCUUUUGCAACAUUUAAAUUAAGCUGGAGGUAUUAAGAGCCGCCACUGAUUUUCUCCUGGUUUCAUUUUUAGAGUCCCAUUUCUACAAUCCUACUACAUUGCAUUCAGGCUUUAAAAUUACAGCUCAGCAAUCUAUUUUAAAAAGUAGAAGUUUGGCCGGACGUGAACGGAUGAUUACACUUGAUACAGCUGAUUUCACAACUGUUUUUCUCUACUACUUAAAAAAAAAAUCUUGAACUCUGAACUCUAAUCAAAGAAAAUCAAAAUGUCCA